Molecule: unclassified non-coding RNA, 385 nt
Filed under: uncultured bacterium
Lineage: Bacteria
Description: contains 16S-23S intergenic spacer region
Source: RNAcentral
UCCAGCUCAUCGCCGGCGGUCUCUACCGAGUGCACUGAGAUUGCUCCCAGUUAGCAACAGCAGACGUGGGUUGCGCUCGUUGCGGGACUUAACCCAACACUUCACAGCACGAGCUGACGACAGCCAUGCACCACCUGUGCUAGCUCCCGACUUAACGGGUCCUUCCCCUUUCAGUUCAGUACUUCUAGCAUGUCAAACCUAGGUAAGGUUCUACGCGUAGCAUCGAAUUGAACCACAUGUUCCACCGCUUGUGCGGGCCCCCGUCAAUUCCUUUGAGUUUCAUCCUUGCGGACGUACUCCCCAGGUGGAGGACUUAAUGGGUUACCGUCGGCAAUGACUCUAAACGAGCCAUCACCUAGUCCUCAACGUUUACGGCGUGGACUAC